Molecule: ribosomal RNA, 375 nt
Filed under: Triticum aestivum (bread wheat)
Lineage: Eukaryota; Viridiplantae; Streptophyta; Magnoliopsida; Poales; Poaceae
Description: partial small subunit ribosomal RNA
Source: RNAcentral
AUGGAGGUCCGACCCAACCAAUGGAUGGAUGGGGAUGAAACCCUAGCCCAACACCCACCCAUGGAUGGAUGGGGAUGGGGCGGCGGCGGCGGCCUUCUCUCGGUGCUUGCUGAUGUGGUGGACAUCGACUUCGGUGACGGGUUGCAGCACGUAGACAUCAAAGGUACUGACACCCUCCAUCCUCAAGGUUUCUUCCCCUCGCGAUGUUGCUUUGUAGGUGGCCAGGAUCUCCGCGGUUGGCAUCGGCAUCGGCGUCGUCUACGGCUCUGUCAGGCUCGACAUCCUCAAGGCACUAGCAAUGUUUUACCAUUGACAGAGCAUUGUGAAUAUGGUAACAGACUACUUGGGUGUUCUGAAAUCGAAUUCUGUAUAUAA